UCAACAGCCUUAGAGACUGAAUUAUUCUGUUUAUCUAAAGAGCAGGUAGCAGCAGUGCACAUGCUGCUUCAUCCCAUUAAAGGGACCAUUUCUAGGGAUGAGAAGGGAGUUCAUUCUCCAUUAUCAUUCUACCCAGGGCCUCG
Molecule: small RNA, 143 nt
Filed under: Chrysemys picta bellii (western painted turtle)
Lineage: Eukaryota; Metazoa; Chordata; Testudines; Emydidae
Description: TUC338 (ENSCPBG00000007130.1)
Source: RNAcentral